This 508-nucleotide ribosomal RNA is filed under the name uncultured Glomeraceae. RNAcentral's name for it is "SSU rRNA". It matches the Rfam family "Eukaryotic small subunit ribosomal RNA", at positions 569 to 1078 of the family's 1831-position model. Lineage: Eukaryota; Fungi; Glomeromycota; Glomeromycetes; Glomerales; Glomeraceae. The record is from RNAcentral.
AGCAGCCGCGGUAAUUCCAGCUCCAAUAGCGUAUAUUAAAGUUGUUGCAGUUAAAAAGCUCGUAGUUGAAUUUCGGAAUCGACGGAUUGGUCGCGCCUUCGGUGUGUACUGGUCUUGCCGGUUUCUCCCUUCCGACGAACCACGAUGUCAUUAAUUUGGUGUCGUGGGGAAUCAGGACUGUUACUUUGAAAAAUUAGAGUGUUUAAAGCAGGCAUUAGCUUGAAUACAUUAGCAUGGAAUAAUGAAAUAGGACGUUUGAUCUUAUUUUGUUGGUUUCUAGGAUCGACGUAAUGAUUAAUAGGGAUAGUUGGGGGCAUUAGUAUUCAAUUGUCAGAGGUGAAAUUCUUGGAUUUAUUGAAGACUAACUACUGCGAAAGCAUUUGCCAAGGAUGUUUUCAUUAAUCAAGAACGAAAGUUAGGGGAUCGAAGACGAUCAGAUACCGUCGUAGUCUUAACCAUAAACUAUGCCGACUAGGGAUCGGAUGAUGUUUAAUUUUUUAAUGACUCA